UGAAGAAUAUUGGGCAAUGCCCGCAAGGGUGACCCAGCAACGCCGCGUGGAGGAUGAAUGUCGUAAGAUUGUAAACUCCUGUUAGAGGGGAAGAAUAGUACCGGUUGGACCGGUAUAUGACUGUACCCUCAGAGAAAGCCCCGGCUAACUACGUGCCAGCAGCCGCGGUAAUACGUAGGGGGCAAGCGUUGUCCGGAUUUACUGGGUGUAAAGGGCGCGCAGGCGGGAUAAAAAGUCAGUGGUGAAAUCCUACAGCUUAACUGUAGAACUGCCUUUGAUACUUUUAUUCUUGACUUCGGGAGAGAGAGACGGAAUUCCAGGUGUAGUGGUGAAAUACGUAGAUAUCUGGAAGAACACCAGUUGCGAAGGCGGUCUCUUGGUCCGACACUGACGCUGAGGCGCGAAAGCGUGGGGAGCAAACA
This 422-nucleotide ribosomal RNA is filed under the name uncultured bacterium. Its description in RNAcentral is "bacterial SSU rRNA". It matches the Rfam family "Bacterial small subunit ribosomal RNA", at positions 355 to 774 of the family's 1533-position model. The record is from RNAcentral.